UCCGUAGGCGGGCAGCUCAGUCAGUGGUGAAAUCUCUCGGCUCAACCGGGAAACUGCCAUUGAUACUGUUAGUCUUGAGUUCGGUUGAGGUGGGCGGAAUGUGUAAUGUAGCGGUGAAAUGCUUAGAUAUUACACAGAACACCAAUUGCGUAGGCAGCUUACUAGACCGACACUGACGCUGAGGCACGAAAGCGUGGGGAGCGAACAGGAUUAGAUACCCUGGUAGUCC
RNAcentral lists this ribosomal RNA (229 nucleotides) under uncultured bacterium. RNAcentral's name for it is "partial 16S ribosomal RNA". It matches the Rfam family "Bacterial small subunit ribosomal RNA", at positions 568 to 796 of the family's 1533-position model. The record is from RNAcentral.